UGGCCAGAGCUCUCAUCUCCCUGUCACGUGUUGGGGAACCAGGGCCUACUGAAGAAGUGAUUAGAGCACCUGAGCAGGAUAGGCGGCCUGAGCCAGCCCUCCCCCCUUCAGCUGUGACAGGGCCUUGCGGAUGGUGUUCAGCUCCUGGAUCGUGGCUCCUCGGGCUGCCAGCAGCUUGUUGCCAAAUUCCCAACUCUAUUUAAGACACUACACCUUCCCAGCUCCAGUGCACCCGCGUUGGUAAGUGAGGAUAGACGAAGAUCAGCCUCGACUCCUCCCGGAACCAAGUGGAGCUGACAUCACGUCCGGAAUCGGCCAACCGCCAGGUGACCGGAAGUGACGUCGCCCCAGGCUGAACCUGUGAUCUUCCAGAGGGAAAUGUUGCCGCGCAGUGCAAGGUGUAGCAAGAUUAAGGGGCUGCUGUCGCCUGGAUCUGUCUCUGUCCGGGCCAGGAACGACUUCCAAGGACCGUUUAUUUGCUUGAGACGCAAACUCACCUUCCCGCAGCUUCUAGCGCUGGAGACCGACCGGAAGUACUCUCUGUGGGUGGGGAUUAGUCCGGAAGUGGCUGGUCUGAGGUCUCCCUAGAAACCGAAGCCUGGUUUAG
This 607-nucleotide long non-coding RNA is filed under the name Mus pahari (shrew mouse). Its description in RNAcentral is "lncRNA (MGP_PahariEiJ_G0002323.1)". Lineage: Eukaryota; Metazoa; Chordata; Mammalia; Rodentia; Muridae. The record is from RNAcentral.